CGUCAAAGGUUAACUGUCGCACAUUAUAAAUCCCUUAAACAAAUUAAAACCCUACACCAAUAUUAAAUAAUUCUAUAUUUUUAUAGAAAAUAUAAUGUUAAAACUAGUAACAAGAAGUUAGCCUUCUCUGAAAUGUAAGUGUAAGUCAAAAUGAAUAAUACAUUGACAAUUAACAAUAUUAAACCACAGUAAUAACCUCACCCAAGAAAAUUAUACUAAUAUACUUGUUAAACUAACACAAGAACAUUUAAAGAAAGACUAAAAGAAAAAGAAGGAAUUCGGCAAAAAUUGAUUCCGCCUGUUUACCAAAAACAUCGCCUCUUGACUAAAUAUAAGAGGUCCCGCCUGCCCAGUGACAUGUUUAACGGCCGCGUAUCCUAACCGCGCGAAGGUAGCGUAAUCACCUGUUUUUUAAUUAAAGACCUGUAUGAUAGGCGUCACGAGAAUCACACUGUCUCCUUUAUCCAGUCAGUGAAACUAAUCUUCCCGUGAAAAAGCGGGAAUUCUAAUACAAGACGAGAAGACCCUUUGGAGCUUAAGACACUAUUAGUAUAUGCUCACUUAUUUUACCCAACACACUAUAACAUACUACUUAUGAGUCUUGGGUUGGGGCAACCACGGAGCAAAAACAAACCUCCAUGCUGAACGGAACUUCCCUAAACAAAAAGCCACAACUUUAUGUAUCAAAAAACUGACACCAUUAGACCCAACAUUUUGAUUAACGAACUAAGUUACCCCAGGGAUAACAGCGCAAUCCACUUCAAGAGUUCAUAUCGACAAGUGGGCUUACGACCUCG
This 797-nucleotide ribosomal RNA is filed under the name Eleutherodactylus apostates (Apostates robber frog). RNAcentral describes it as "partial 16S ribosomal RNA". It matches the Rfam family "Bacterial large subunit ribosomal RNA", at positions 1493 to 2528 of the family's 2925-position model. Lineage: Eukaryota; Metazoa; Chordata; Amphibia; Anura; Eleutherodactylidae. The record is from RNAcentral.